This 70-nucleotide transfer RNA is filed under the name Graydidascalus brachyurus (short-tailed parrot). RNAcentral describes it as "tRNA-Glu". The record is from RNAcentral. Lineage: Eukaryota; Metazoa; Chordata; Aves; Psittaciformes; Psittacidae.
GUUCUUAUAGUUGAGCUAUCAACGACGGUUUUUCAGACCGUAGGCCUUGGGUAGAUCCAAGUAGGAACCU